RNAcentral lists this non-coding RNA (23 nucleotides) under Cricetulus griseus (Chinese hamster). Lineage: Eukaryota; Metazoa; Chordata; Mammalia; Rodentia; Cricetidae. The record is from RNAcentral.
ACAUCUAUGGAUGAGAAAUGCGG